UACGAAGGGGGCUAGCGUUGCUCGGAAUCACUGGGCGUAAAGCGCACGUAGGCGGCUUUUUAAGUCAGGGGUGAAAUCCUGGAGCUCAACUCCAGAACUGCCUUUGAUACUGAGAAGCUUGAGUCCGGGAGAGGUGAGUGGAACUGCGAGUGUAGAGGUGAAAUUCGUAGAUAUUCGCAAGAACACCAGUGGCGAAGGCGGCUCACUGGCCCGAUACUGACGCUGAGGCGCGAAAGCGUGGGGAGCAAACAGGG
RNAcentral lists this ribosomal RNA (254 nucleotides) under uncultured bacterium. Its description in RNAcentral is "partial 16S ribosomal RNA". It matches the Rfam family "Bacterial small subunit ribosomal RNA", at positions 524 to 777 of the family's 1533-position model. The record is from RNAcentral.